This 371-nucleotide long non-coding RNA is filed under the name Lepisosteus oculatus (spotted gar). RNAcentral's name for it is "lncRNA (ENSLOCG00000021615.1)". Lineage: Eukaryota; Metazoa; Chordata; Actinopteri; Semionotiformes; Lepisosteidae. The record is from RNAcentral.
UUCUAUGACAGACAAUGUCGCUUUGCCAACAAAAUGCUUGGGAAAAAGAGCAAGAUAUAGUUCAGUAGCUCCUGUAGAAAGGCAAUGCGCCUGGGAAACAGCACCCCUGCCUUCCUGUUCUCAUGAGCCUUCGGAGCCCCUGAGAGCUGAUCUUGGAUACCAGCCUUCUGGGACUCUGGGUUAUUUACCAGGCUGCAUCCCUGAGCUUCCAGAGCAACUUAAGCACCACUGCUGUGCAGUCCGAAAUACAGAGGUUGAUACAGACCCCGGAGCUAGUAAGCAAAUCAAUGGCAAAGUUGAACAACAAAAUGUGGCUGCUAGGGAUUUCUCUUUCCAUCUUUGUAGUGCAUAUUACAAGAUUUAAAUGCAGA